Long non-coding RNA from Austrofundulus limnaeus, 1047 nucleotides. RefSeq lists it as uncharacterized. The transcript is spliced from 5 exons. Lineage: Eukaryota; Metazoa; Chordata; Actinopteri; Cyprinodontiformes; Rivulidae. The record is from RefSeq and is a predicted model, not a curated record.
AGGACCAGCCUGGUGCUGCAUUUAAGGAAAGUCAGAGAAAAAGUAGAGAGGAUGACAGAAAGCGCGCUCAGGGUGAUAUUUAUAUAUAUUUUUCCUUAGUGAUGCAUAAAUUUGAAAGUGAAAGAAAAUGUCUCUGAUGGUGCAAGUGAGCGGCUCGCAAAUGAUGACUAAAUUAAAAUAAAAAAAAAAGUAAAUGUGCAAAAGUUGCGCCUGACCGCCAGUGAUUUGGGGUGUUCAUCGAAGACUUUCUGAUGAAGGGAAGGAUGAAGAUAGACAGUUUGGCCUCAGAGCUUCUCCAGCCUGUCGUGAAGAACCGUGCAGCUAACAGGGAAAUAAGACACUCUUUCCUCACUGAGUCAUCCAUCCUCUUGCAUCAAGCACAGCUCCGCACCCAGAGCCACUAACACCCUCAUCUCAUGUCACGCAGGGUGAAGACAGGGGCUGUGGCAGCUUGGUGGCCACUGCUGGGGUCUCAUGAUCCGGAGGCUGCACGUUCAAAUCCAGGUUGCGUCAGGAAGGGCUUCUGGUGUAAAACGAUUGCCAAAUCCUAUGUGGCAACCCCCUGUGGAGGAAAGCAUGGCAACAACAACAUUUGCAGGGUGAAGACUUAAACUGGAGAUGCAGUUUGACCACAAGAGGAUGGUUUCCACCACAUUCAGUCAUCCUGACAAGUGGAGGGGAAAACACCUCAGCACAACUUGUCUGCUGCUGAGCCGGUUUGUGUCCACGACAACAUCAACAUCAUGAGAUGAGGAGAGUUGCAACCACAGGCAGCGGCGGAGGAGGUGGUGCUGUGUGUCGUGGUUAGCAGCUGCACGGUGCCUGGUAAACUAAACUGUGCUGUGGAUGGAAAAGCCUCAGGGGAAUAAUGAGCUCAAACACCAGGAGGAAGAAUAAAGUUAAGAGGUGCAAGGUGGGGGCAAGAGGCAGGAUUUUUAUCCACGUUACAUCAGAUGACCAUAAAAACACCAGCUGGAGAUAAAUGUGGUUGUUUAUUUUUACAGAUGCUGAAGUUUCUGGCUUAAUAAACAGGUUCUUAGUCCUUUA